UACAGAGGUCUCAAGCGUUGUUCGGAUUCAUUGGGCGUAAAGGGUGCGUAGGUGGCGCCGUAAGUCGGGUGUGAAAUCUCGGAGCUUAACUCCGAAACUGCAUUCGAUACUGCGGUGCUUGAGGACUGGAGAGGAGACUGGAAUUCAUGGUGUAGCGGUGAAAUGCGUAGAGAUCAUGAGGAAGACCAGUGGCGAAGGCGGGUCUCUGGACAGUUCCUGACGCUGAGGCACGAAGGCCAGGGGAGCAAACGGG
RNAcentral lists this ribosomal RNA (253 nucleotides) under uncultured bacterium. Its description in RNAcentral is "partial 16S ribosomal RNA". It matches the Rfam family "Bacterial small subunit ribosomal RNA", at positions 524 to 776 of the family's 1533-position model. The record is from RNAcentral.